Molecule: long non-coding RNA, 1280 nt
Filed under: Anas platyrhynchos (mallard)
Lineage: Eukaryota; Metazoa; Chordata; Aves; Anseriformes; Anatidae
Description: lncRNA (ENSAPLG00020007658.1)
Source: RNAcentral
GAAUAUGAGUUUUUGUGGCCUUACCUCUGAAAUGUCUUUCCUCCUUCUGCUUUAGAUCCAAAAAUUAUUUAAUAAGGAAUUUGGAGAAGCGUGCAAUAUUGAGUUGCCUGGUAGGGCAGAGAGAGCAGCUUUUUUUGAGGACCUAAUUCUAAAUCAAGUGGCUAAGCCUCCUGUAAAGAAAACAGUUGAUCGGACAUUGGAAGUCCUGCUUGUAGCACCACCAGCUGAGCCUCAGAAGCCACAAGAGGAAGAAGUAGGGAUGCUGGAGGAGGAAGAGGAGGAUACCUUGCGUGAACUUAGAAUUUUCUUGAGGGACGUUACUCACAGACUUGCCACUGACAGACGUUUCAGGGAAUUUGCAAAGCCCGUUGACCCACAGAAGGUACCUGACUAUGCCACAAGGAUUAAAGAGCCGAUGGAUCUUUCAACAGUUCUGACUCAAAUUGACUCGCGCCAGUACCUCACUGCAGGAGACUAUCUGAAGGACAUCGAUCUAAUCUGUAACAAUGCCUUAGAGUACUACCCAGAUCAAAGGUCUACAAGUGAGGAUGUGCUUUUUAGCCCUAGUUUAAAAAAUCUGUCAAACGUAUAGAUGGAUAAAUGCUGUGUGCGGACAACAGACUUUGGAUGGAUUAGAUGAUUUUGGACAUCCACAGAGAACAUCUCUUACCACAUUGUAAAUAUUUUAUCAUUUUGCUACUUGGGCAUGGAAGUGUGAUAUAAAUGUUCCCAAGGAACUAGUGCUUUUGUUUUAAUUAACUUCUAUGUUGUUAUGCUGAAAAUAUUCACUGAGAUAACCUUUCGGAACCAACCUAUGAAGAAAGCAAUUUUUUUCUGUGAUCAAAACAGUUUCAUUGGUUGGUAGACAACAUUCAGUUAAAGUCUGUAAAAUUUCAGAUUGUCACAGAGCCUAUGUUUUGCAAGACACUGCAUAUUCAAUGGUGAGGAACAAAAUGGAUACAGAGUUUGGACGACUUUGUGAACAAAUUAAAGAAUCUCGUGAGAAAAGAGGUCGCACCUCUCCAGCAUGUGCUCCAUGCGACAACUCCAAGUCACCACAGCAGAACCCUGCUACUGAAGACGACAAACCAGAUGAAGAGAGUAAUGAAAAUGAAGAGAUGACAGCGGCACCUGUAGAUGCCAGUACACCCAUUUCUAAUGGUGCGUCAGAAAGAAAGCGCAGAAGGAACAACUGUGCGCAUGCUGCAGCAAAGAGAAGAAGGAGUUCUCAAUUCGAUACAGAGAACAGAGUACCAACAGAUGACCAAAACGAUAGCGAU